AAAAAAGAAAAAAAAAAACAGAGAAAAAGAAAGGGAAAUUCUUUUGGUUUCCCUUCACCUUCCCCUCCUUCACAACCCCAGCGAGGAAAAUCCUGCUGUGCUAGGGUUUCUGGACCACUCCGAGCUCGUACCGCGACGGACUCCAUGCCCAGAAGCCCCUCCUUGUGACCCUCGCAGGCCUCUACCUUCCCAAAGGUUUAAUUUCUCAAACGCGCUUGGUUGAUCUUUCGAGAAGGAAAUAUUUUUGUGGUUGAGUCUUUGAGUAAAAGAAAAUCAUGUCCGGAAGAAAUCGUGGACCACCUCAUGCUGGAUUGCCCCCUCCGGUUCACAAACUCCCAUAUGGAAGAGGACUUGGUCCGAUGCCCCAUCCUGCAUUGCUCGAGGAAAUGAGAGAAUCCCAGCUUGGCAUGGGUCCCAGACAACUUCCUCCCCACCCUGCAAUAAUUGAGGAGCAUCUUGCCGCUCAACAUCAAGAUAUACAAGGACUUCUAGGUAAUAACCAAAGGCUGGCUGCAACCCAUGUUGCUCUUAAGCAGGAAUUGGAGGCUGCUCAAUUUGAGUUGCAGCGAAUGGCUUACCAUGUUGAUUCACUGCGGGCAGACAAGGAUGUCAAAAUGAGAGAUUUGUAUGACAAGUCUGUUCGUUUGGAAGUGGACCUUCGUGGAGUGGAGGCCAUGCGGAAUGAGCUGCUUCAGGUUCGUGCUGAUAUCAAGGAGCUCACUGCUGCGAGGCAGGAGCUCUCGGCUCAGGCACAAGUGAUGACACAAGAUCUGGCUAGAAUGACUGCUGAUUUGCAACAAGCACCAGCUUUGAGAACAGAAAUUGAAGCAAUGAAACAGGAAUUGCAACGUGCCAGAGCUGCCAUUGAGUAUGAAAAGAAAGGAUAUGCAGAGAAUUAUGAGCAUGGUCAAAUCAUGGAGAAGAAUUUGACAUCAAUGGCUAGGGAGCUGGAGAAACUUCGUGCAGAAAUUGCUAACACGGAGAAGAGAGCAAGAGCUGCAGCUGCUAUUGGAAAUCCAGCUGUAGGUUAUAAUGCCAAUUAUGGGAAUCCUGAAGCAGGAUAUGCAGGAAACCCCUAUCCUGCCACUUAUGGCAUGAAUCCUGUACAGAGUGGUGCUGAAAAUUUUCCUCAGUAUGCACCUAUGCCAGGUUCAUGGGGUGCAUAUGACAUGCAGCGAGCUCAGGGACACAGAUAAGCUAGUUCAUCCAUGGUGCUGAGCCCUGUCUUGAUUGGUAUCUUCGCCGCGGUGUAUUAGAUGCUUAGAAGAACAACAGCAUAAUGUAAGGGAAGUGUAUUCAUAGCAUGAGGUAUGCUGUUCAUUGCGAAGACAUUCAACAAUGGAGCUGCAGAAUAAGUUUCUGGUCAAGUUCACAACCUUUUGACCCUGCAAAUCUGCUGCCUUCCAUGUAUGUCCAAUGUUUCUCAAGUUCAGUUCAUGAUUUCUGCAAAUCUGCUCAUGAGGUUUCAUGAGAGAACUCAGAUUAAGGUUUCAUGGGUUAGUUAAAGUCUACAUUUUCAGAAGGAAUUAGAAAAUAUAACCCAGAGGAUACUUCAAUUCUUACGCACUUAGGAUUUGAGUUUCGUCACACGGUUCUCAAAGAAAGCUGCUGCCAACUUCGUUAAAAGUGGUGAUUUCCCAAUUGCCGCACAAGCUAAAGCCAGACUGGUUUGAUUCCUGUUAUCUGAAUGCAAUGAACAAACAACGAGGUGGUUUGAUCUUAUGAUCCCUAAUUUGGUGGUGGUAGCAAUGUUGGUUGACCAUAAAUUGCCUCCUCCUCCGUGCUACUAUAAUCAGAAGGCACCAGGUAAGGUGUGGGAGCUGGCACAAUUGCAGACAAAAACUAUUUUUGUUCAACCGUUUCUCCAUUUUUUUUGCAAGGGAGAAGUUUGUGUUUUUUGGCAAGGGACUGUUUGAUAACCAUUUAGUUUUUAGUUUCUAGUAUUUGGUUUUCACGUUUUUUGAAAUUUAAAUCUUAUUUGGUAACUACUUUCAGAUGAAAACUGAAAACUUAAGGCAAAAUUUUGAAAACUCAAGCGUAUAGUUUUCAAGUUUUGGUUUUUAGUUUUCAUAUUUUUGAAAACUAAAAGCAGUUACCAAAUAUUGUGUUUGGAUGAGGGAUUGUAAUGGUACCAAGGGAUUUAGGAAGGAGUGCACUGCAAAACAUUAGAUUGAUGCAUAUGAAAUGACUGCAAUGCACCAAGUAAUUUGUAAAUGACUGCUUGAAAGGAGCCAUUUGAAAAUCCGUCAUUUAGUGGCCUUGUAAUGCUCAUGUAGGUGUACUUUGUAAUCUAUCAAACUUUUUGUAGUGCAACUCUAAAUAAUUUUAACUAAAUCUCGUCGUACUUGGAAAUUUCUCAUCCAAACAGACCAUAUUAGUUUUUAGUUUUAUGAUGGAGAACCCUUUUCCCCUCGUUGAAAUUCAUGAUUUUUACAUAUUGGAUGACGAAUUUGCCUCAUCGUUUAAUUAACACAAGGAGGUAAAGAAUUAAAAUGAUUUCAAUUCU
Malus domestica (apple) is the source of this 2506-nucleotide RNA transcript. It is a transcript of the gene named protein FLX-like 1, with no coding region annotated. The record is from RefSeq and is a predicted model, not a curated record. NCBI's taxonomy places the organism in Eukaryota, Viridiplantae, Streptophyta, Magnoliopsida, Rosales, Rosaceae.